UCCCUGGUGGUCCAGUGGCUAAGACGCAGCACUCCCAAUGCAGGAGGCCCAGGUUCAAUCCCUGGUCAGGGAA
This is a non-coding RNA of Odocoileus virginianus texanus, 73 nucleotides long. Lineage: Eukaryota; Metazoa; Chordata; Mammalia; Artiodactyla; Cervidae. The record is from the annotation of a RefSeq genome assembly.